AUAGACUCUAGCCUCCAGGUGGCGCUAAUGGUCUUUGUUUCAUCGGUGAAAACUUGUUUUUGCUCCGGCGAGAGCGCUGCCAAAGGCCACUUAACGUUAUUUAUAUAUUUACUCAUUUAGUCCCUUCUCUUCAUUCAUUCAUUUCAUAAUUUAUGUUUACAGGAUAUACUAAUGGUGAGGAAAUGGACAUCCCAGAGAUUAGAUAAUUUGUCCUGGGCCCGUGACCGUUAGGAGGUAGAACGUGAAUUCACGUCCAGUCUGCUGGACCGUAAAGUUCAUCCCCUUAACUAUUCCACUACACUGAGGAAGCUCUCUUCAACUGUCGUAAGCGGAAUUUGCUGAUUGGUCAACAAAGUAGUCAACAAAAACUACAGCCCACAGGGGAAGCCCGUGGCGCGGCGGAAGAGAAAACAGAGGAUCCCAAAAUGAAGACACUUGCUCAAGUUCACACAGCUGUUAAGUGGAUGGCAAGGGGCCAGACUUCUAAGAGACCCUGACUUGUUUCCCUUUGUUUUUUUCUAUCACCACACUGGUUUCCCCAGAGGACAUUGACGUUGACAGAGAAAGACCAAAGGAAUCUUUGUGACUUCAUCCAAAUGUCACAGCAAGAAAAAACAUCUGGAUAUUCCAUUUCUCUUCGUGGCGGCAGAUGCAGCCUCUGCAGUGGUCAUUUCUGCGUUGAUCCUUGACCAACAGAUGCAGGUGAAAUAAGAAUGGAGAAAAAGGAAGCAAUCUCCGUGGUUUCAUUGGCGCUCACUCAUUGAGCCUUCCAGAGGAGGCUCCUGCCUUGCGAAGGUUCAGAGUCUAGGACAUCUAAUCCACCCAGAGGGGGCUUCAUAUUUGAUUAGGCCCUUGGAAUCCAGCUUAGAAAAUGAGCUGUUAAAAAGUCGAGGCAAAAUAGAGAGUGGACCCCUGACUCUUAGGGUGGGUUGGCGGCCGGUCUGAGCAGGAAGUGUUCUGAUGUGCUGACAGUGAGGAAACAGGCCGUGUUUUUGUUUAUUUUCUCAUAAAGUGCUGAUGAACAAAUGAGGUAGUUGCAUUAAGGGGCUCCGAAGCAAGCUGUGAAAAGAGAUUGGGGUUUAUCAGCCUUUUAGCCUGGUUUCCUUUGGAAAGAAUGCUUGUGACAUGGCGAGGCUCUGCAAGUCUGCGUGUCCACCCCCUCGGCGCGGCGCCCCUCCUCCCCGCACGCUCCUUGAUAACUUUGACUGCCUCAAACUGAUGUCAGCCCUUUUUGGUAGAUGGGGAGAAGGAGGGCCUCAUGGAUUCCUUAAUAAUAGAAGCAAAUGCUCGAGAGAUAGAGCAAUUUCCACACAUUAAAUAACCUCCUUUUUGUUUUUUGUGCUUAUGCUUGAUAGUUCUAAAUUUAAUUUGUGGACUCCUUUAAAGAGAUUUCUAGGAAAUUGGUGGGGGUGGGAAGUAGGAGAGGGCUCUGUUGGGAGGACAUUCAUAUUUUUUUGGAUCUAAGAUCUUACCUGACACAAGAAUGGAGGAAAGUCAGAAAUAUGAGGAAAGCAUUGCCUAUAGCUAUGAAUAAAUCUGUCACUUGGAAGAUAAAAACGCUUAAGCAGCAUACCUUAAAAUAAAGUAUGAGCUUUGAAUCCUUGGUGGAGCAAUGCAUGGAACAAAGAAAGAAAUGGUCAAAUAAAUUUAAAAAAUUAGAUAAUCCAGAAGCUUGCUUUGCUGCUAAACUCUGUGUCCUUCCAAGUUUCGUAAAGAGUAAUUGUAGAGUGGCCGUUAUCUCUGCUCCUUAGCUCUAGUUACCUCAGCUGCAAAGGUCGUGGCACCUUCCUCUGGGGGAGAAAUGAAGUCUGUUUCUCCUGAGCCAGAGUUGACAUCGUAGGAGUACAGUAACGUCUGGUAAAAUAACUCACUCAAAAUCAAGUUUGACCAGUGUGCUUCUGAGUCAAGGGAUUUAAAAUGUUUCACAGAUGACAGCAAUUUUAACCAAUGUGACCUAGGAUAAUUCCAAGGAAUAAAAAAUAUGGUAAAUGGUUCAGAAUGGAUUUGGUCCAAUACUGAAGGUUUUACAGGUUUUUUUAAAAAUUUCUUGCAAUGCAUGAAUAAAUGAAAAUAAUAAUAGGGUUUUGGAAGUAAUUGGAUUAUAUAUUGGAAGGAGAUGAAAUAUUUGAUGUGAAGUUCAAUUUGCUCAGAAAUAAGGACUAGCAUACACUUUGCUCUUUCCUGCUGUGUAUAUAUAUAUAUAUAUUUUUAAUUAAAAAUAUUUUUUCUUUUUGAGGAAGAUUAGCCCUGAGCCAACAUCUGUCACCCAUCCUCCU
This 2276-nucleotide long non-coding RNA is filed under the name Equus caballus (horse). RNAcentral's name for it is "lncRNA (ENSECAG00000044069.1)". Lineage: Eukaryota; Metazoa; Chordata; Mammalia; Perissodactyla; Equidae. The record is from RNAcentral.